This 379-nucleotide ribosomal RNA is filed under the name Teredinibacter sp. SS4. RNAcentral describes it as "partial 16S ribosomal RNA". Lineage: Bacteria; Pseudomonadati; Pseudomonadota; Gammaproteobacteria; Cellvibrionales; Cellvibrionaceae. The record is from RNAcentral.
ACCUUUUGAUAUCCUCUAGUGCGUGUCGAGCGGUAGCCUUGGACUUGAUUACGUCGGAGCUAGCUAAUCCGACCUAUAAUGAUCUAAAAUCUGCCUAGCCGAAGGUCCUAACCUUUCUCAAGGAGCGCGAAUACCGCAUACGUCCUAGUUUCCGGACGUUAUCAUCUUCGAACCUCACGCUAUUAAAUGAUUACUCACCGGAUUACCUAGUUGGUGAGGUAAUGGCUCCCCGAGGCGACGAUCCGUAACUGUGCUGAAAGGAUGAUCAGUCACACUGAUCCUGACCCAGGAUCAACUAUUGUCGCUCAGGUUGCAUGGGGGAAUAUUGCACAAUGCGCUAAAUCCUGACCCUGAUCCAACUAUUAUGUCGUUCUUUUUG